This 361-nucleotide ribosomal RNA is filed under the name uncultured bacterium. Its description in RNAcentral is "partial 16S ribosomal RNA". The record is from RNAcentral.
AGGGAACUAAACCCUUGGAAAGGCAAGCCACUGGGAGGGGUGCGUCCCCAGCUAGUGUAAGGUAGGCUUACCGGCGAUGAGGUAGGGGCUGAGAGGGACCCCCCAAUGGAACAAACACGGCAUACACCCGGGUGGCCAGUAGGGUAUUGGUUUGGGCGAACCUGACCCCAACGCCGUGUGCGAUAGGCCUUCGUCGUAAAACUUUUUAGGGAUGAGAGGACAGUCACUAGAAAGUCUCGGAACUACGUCAGCAGCCGGUAACACAGGAGACACGUUAUCCAUUUACUGUGUAAAGCGUGUAGGCCUCUGUAAUGGAUGUGAGCUCCUGUUAACUGGGAGGKUGUAAGACUGCGGCUUGAGU